This 572-nucleotide ribosomal RNA is filed under the name uncultured Actinomycetes bacterium. RNAcentral describes it as "bacterial SSU rRNA". It matches the Rfam family "Bacterial small subunit ribosomal RNA", at positions 128 to 715 of the family's 1533-position model. Lineage: Bacteria; Bacillati; Actinomycetota; Actinomycetes. The record is from RNAcentral.
GCCCCUAACUCUGGGAUAACGCUUCGAAAGGAGUGCUAAUACCGGAUAUGAGCCUGGAAGACAUCUUCUGGGUUGGAAAGUUUUUCGGUUAGGGAUGGGCUCGCGGCCUAUCAGCUAGUUGGUGAGGUAAAGGCUCACCAAGGCGACGACGGGUAUCCGGCCUGAGAGGGCGACCGGACACACUGGGACUGAGACACGGCCCAGACUCCUACGGGAGGCAGCAGUGGGGAAUAUUGCGCAAUGGGCGAAAGCCUGACGCAGCGACGCCGCGUGAGGGAUGAAGGUCUUCGGAUUGUAAACCUCUUUCAGCAGGGACGAAGCGAAAGUGACGGUACCUGCAGAAGAAGCACCGGCUAACUACGUGCCAGCAGCCGCGGUAAUACGUAGGGUGCAAGCGUUGUCCGGAUUUAUUGGGCGUAAAGAGCUCGUAGGCGGUUAGACACGUCGGAUGUGAAAACUGGGGGCUCAACCCCCAGCCUGCAUUCGAUACGGUCUGACUAGAGUGUGGUAGGGGUAACUGGAAUUCCUGGUGUAGCGGUGAAAUGCGCAGAUAUCAGGAGGAACACCGAUGG